UGGGGAAUAUUGCACAAUGGGGGAAACCCUGAUGCAGCGACGCCGCGUGAGUGAAGAAGUAUUUCGGUAUGUAAAGCUCUAUCAGCAGGGAAGAAGAUGACGGUACCUGACUAAGAAGCCCCGGCUAACUACGUGCCAGCAGCCGCGGUAAUACGUAGGGGGCAAGCGUUAUCCGGAUUUACUGGGUGUAAAGGGAGCGUAGACGGCUGUGCAAGUCUGAAGUGAAAGGCAUGGGCUUAACCCGUGGACUGCUUUGGAAACUGUAAAGCUGGAGUGCAGGAGAGGUAAGUGGAAUUCCUAGUGUAGCGGUGAAAUGCGUAGAUAUUAGGAGGAACACCAGUGGCGAAGGCGGCUUACUGGACUGUAACUGACGUUGAGGCUCGAAAGCGUGGGGAGCAAACAGG
This 404-nucleotide ribosomal RNA is filed under the name uncultured bacterium. Its description in RNAcentral is "bacterial SSU rRNA". It matches the Rfam family "Bacterial small subunit ribosomal RNA", at positions 355 to 776 of the family's 1533-position model. The record is from RNAcentral.